UACCUGGUUGAUCCUGCCAGUAGUCAUAUGCUUGUCUUAAAGAUUAAGCCAUGCAUGUCUCAGUAUAAGUCUUCACAUGGCGAAACUGCGAAUGGCUCAUUAAAACAGUUAUAGUCUAUUUGACGGUCAACAGUUACAUGGAUAACUGCGGUAAUUCUGGAGCUAAUACAUGCGAAAAAACCCGACUUCUCGGAAGGGUCGUAUUUAUUAGAUACAGAACCAAUGCUCCUCGGAGUUUUUGGAUGAUUCAUAAUAAACGAAUGGAGCGCAUUGCUUGUGCUGGCGCUAUGUCAUUCGAGUUUCUGACCUAUCAGCUUUCGACGGUAGUGUAUUGGACUACCGUGGCAUUGACGGGUAACGGAGAAUUAGGGUUCGAUUCCGGAGAGGGAGCCUGAGAAACGGCUACCACAUCUAAGGAAGGCAGCAGGCGCGUAAAUUACCCAAUCCUGACGCAGGGAGGUAGUGACAAGAAAUAUCAAAAGAUUGAACACAGUUCUGUCUUAUUGGAAUGAGUACAUUCUAAACCCCUUAACGAGAACCAAUUGGAGGGCAAGUCUGGUGCCAGCAGCCGCGGUAAUUCCAGCUCCAAUAGCGUAUACUAAAGUUGUUGCAGUUAAAAGCUCGUAGUUGGAUUUCUGUGCAUCGGUUGUUGGGCUACGCUUAUGGUGUGGUCCCUUCACCGCUGUACAUCCUGUUGGCAGACACGUGCUGGCAUUAAUUUGUCGGUGCGGGGAGACCACUCGUUUACUUUGAGAAAAUUAAAGUGUUCAAAGCAGGCGCUCGCUUGAAUACAUUAGCAUGGAAUAAUAGUAUAGGACUUUGAUCUUAUUUGUUGGUUUUAAAGAUCAAAGUAAUGAUUGAUAGGGACAGUUGGGGGCAUCAGUAUUCUGAAGCGAGAGGUGAAAUUCUUGGACCUUCGGAAGACUAACAACUGCGAAAGCAUUUGCCAAGGAUGUUCUCUUUAAUCAAGAACGAAAGUUAGGGGAUCGAAGACGAUCAGAUACCGUCGUAGUCUUAACUAUAAACUAUGCCAGCUAGGGAUCGGUGAACGUUGUUUUCGACUUCAUCAGCACCUUAUGAGAAAUCAAAGCAUUUUGGGUUCCGGGGGGAGUAUGGUCGCAAGGCUGAAACUUAAAGGAAUUGACGGGAGGGCACCACCAGGAGUGGAGCCUGUGGCUUAAUUUUGACUCAACACGGGAAAACUUACCAGGUCCGGACAUAGUAAGGAUUGACAGACUGAAGGUCUUUCUUGAUUCUAUGGGUGGUGGUGCAUGGCCGUUCUUAGUUGGUGGAGUGAUUUGUCUGGUUAAUUCCGUUAACGAACGAGACCCCAGCCUGCUAAAUAGGUGGUUCCAUUCUGAUGGGAUCUUCUUCUUAGAGGGACUAUUGAGUGUCUAACCAAUGGAAGUUUGGGGCAAUAACAGGUCUGUGAUGCCCUUAGAUGUUCUGGGCCGCACACGGGCUACACUGCGGGGUUCAACGAGUAUAUACCCUGCGUAGAAAUGCGUAGGAAACCUUAUGAAAACCCCGCGUGCUUGGGAUAGACUAUUGCAAUUAUUAGUCUUCAACGAGGAAUUCCUAGUAAACGCAAGUCAUCAGCUUGCAUUGAUUACGUCCCUGCCCUUUGUACACACCGCCCGUCGCUCCUACCGAUUGGAUGAAUCGAUGAGCCUUUUGGAGAAUUCCAGCCGACUACAUUGUACGACGCAGGUUUCGAAGUUAUGCAAAUCACUUCAUCUAGAGGAAGGAGAAGUCGUAACAAGGUUUCCGUAGGUGAACCUGCAGAAGGAUC
This 1792-nucleotide ribosomal RNA is filed under the name uncultured eukaryote. RNAcentral describes it as "SSU rRNA". It matches the Rfam family "Eukaryotic small subunit ribosomal RNA". The record is from RNAcentral.